GACAGAGGGUGCAAACGUUGCUCGGAAUCACUGGGCGUAGAGGGCGUGUAGGCGGGCAGGUAAGUCGGGCGUGAAAUCCCUGGGCUCAACCCAGGAACUGCACUCGAAACUACUUGUCUUGAGUGUCGGAGAGGAAAGCGGAAUUCCUGGUGUAGAGGUGAAAUUCGUAGAUAUCAGGAGGAACACCAGUGGCGAAGGCGGCUUUCUGGACGAUAACUGACGCUGAGACGCGAAAGCGUGGGGAGCAAACAGG
Molecule: ribosomal RNA, 253 nt
Filed under: uncultured bacterium
Lineage: Bacteria
Description: partial 16S ribosomal RNA
Rfam family: Bacterial small subunit ribosomal RNA
Source: RNAcentral